RNAcentral lists this unclassified non-coding RNA (617 nucleotides) under Hevea brasiliensis (rubber tree). The record is from RNAcentral. Lineage: Eukaryota; Viridiplantae; Streptophyta; Magnoliopsida; Malpighiales; Euphorbiaceae.
UGAAAACCAGUCUCGAAAAAACCGAAGGAUGGCUUUUGUUAUCCAAAAACCAUGGAUUCUUUUCCACCUUAAGCUGCCACUGGUUUUUCACUUUCUUUACCACUAUAUAGAGACCCACCAACACCUUUCACUUCUUCAACGCAUCAACACUUGUAUUACAGAAAAUAUGAACGCUACGAAGAAAGCUUGGGUUGUGGCUGCCACCAUUGGUGCAGUGGAAGCACUCAAAGAUCAAGGUAUUUGCAGGUGGAAUUACACUAUCAGGUCUAUACAACAACAUGCCAAGAACAAUAUUAGAUCGUUCGCUCAAGCCAAUAUGGUUUCUUCUUCUGGUUCUGGAUCUUCAGGAUCUGUGUCUGCUUCUGGGUCUUCAUCAACACCUCUGACACCAGCAGCAGCAGCUAUGUCUAAUGAGAGUAGGAUUAAUCCUAAUGGUAAGUUGAAGAAGAAAGAGGCUUCUUUAGAGAAAGUACUGGUUUUGAGCUGCUGGGGUCCUAGCACUACUAGAUUUUAGUGGUCAUAUUCAAAUCGAAUAUGUAUGGUUUCUGUUAAUAGAUCUUCUAGCUAGCAAUGAUUAUCAAUUUUGAUCCAUCAUUAUAAUGAAAGAAAUCUUUGUG